GACGAACGCUGGCGGCGUGCUUAACACAUGCAAGUCGAGCGGUAAGGCCCUUUCGGGGGUACGACGAGCGGCGAACGGGUAGAGUAACACGUGGGUGACCUCGCCCUCCAGCUCUGGCAUAAGCCUGGGAAACCGGGUACUAAUACCGGAUAUGACUCCAUGACGCAUGUUGUGGGGUGGAAAGCCUUGUGCGGCUGAGGAUGGGCCCGCGGCCUAUCAGC
RNAcentral lists this ribosomal RNA (221 nucleotides) under uncultured bacterium. RNAcentral describes it as "partial 16S ribosomal RNA". It matches the Rfam family "Bacterial small subunit ribosomal RNA", at positions 28 to 245 of the family's 1533-position model. The record is from RNAcentral.